This 63-nucleotide transfer RNA is filed under the name Heterocephalus glaber (naked mole-rat). It matches the Rfam family "tRNA". Rfam says of the family: Transfer RNA (tRNA) molecules are approximately 80 nucleotides in length. Their secondary structure includes four short double-helical elements and three loops (D, anti-codon, and T loops). Further hydrogen bonds mediate the characteristic L-shaped molecular structure. tRNAs have two regions of fundamental functional importance: the anti-codon, which is responsible for specific mRNA codon recognition, and the 3' end, to which the tRNAs corresponding amino acid is attached (by aminoacyl-tRNA synthetases). tRNAs cope with the degeneracy of the genetic code in two manners: having more than one tRNA (with a specific anti-codon) for a particular amino acid; and 'wobble' base-pairing, i.e. permitting non-standard base-pairing at the 3rd anti-codon position. Lineage: Eukaryota; Metazoa; Chordata; Mammalia; Rodentia; Bathyergidae. The record is from Rfam by way of RNAcentral.
GGGGUUAUAGCUCAGUGGUAGAGCACUUACCUAGUGUGUAUGAGGCCUCUAUGUUUGAUCCCA